CCUACGGGAGGCAGCAGUGGGGGAUAUUGCACAAUGGGGGGAACCCUGAUGCAGCGACGCCGCGUGGGUGAAGGAGUGCUUCGGCAUGUAAAGCCCUAUCGGCAGGGAAGAAGCAAGACGGUACCUGACUAAGAAGCCCCGGCUAACUACGUGCCAGUAGCCGCGGUAAUACGUAGGGGGCGAGCGUUAUCCGGAUUCACUGGGUGUAAAGGGAGCGUAGACGGCCAUGCAAGCCAGGGGUGAAAGCCCGGGGCCCAACCCCGGGACUGCCCUUGGAACUGUUCGGCUAGAGUGCGGGAGGGGCAGGCGGAAUUCCUGGUGUAGCGGUGAAAUGCGUAGAUAUCAGGAGGAACACCGGCGGCGAAGGCGGCCUGCUGGACUGCGACUGACGUUGAGGCUCGAAAGCGUGGGGAGCGAACAGGAUUAGAUACCCCAGUAGUC
Molecule: ribosomal RNA, 441 nt
Filed under: uncultured bacterium
Lineage: Bacteria
Description: partial 16S ribosomal RNA
Rfam family: Bacterial small subunit ribosomal RNA
Source: RNAcentral